GAUGAAGAACGUAGCGAAAUGCGAUAAGUAGUGUGAAUUGCAGAAUUCAGUGAAUCAUCGAAUCUUUGAACGCACAUUGCGCCCGCCAGUAUUCUGGCGGGCAUGCCUGUUCGAGCGUCAUUUCAACCAUCAAGCCCCCGGGCUUGUGUUGGGGACCUGCGGCUGCCGCAGGCCCCGAAAACCAGUGGCGGGCUCGCUGUCACCCCGAGCGUAGUAGUUUACACCUCGCCCAGGGCGUGCCGCGGGUUCCCGGCCGUUAAACCCCCCCAUACCACAAGGUUGACCUCGGAUCAGGUAGGAAGACCCGCUGAACUUAAGCAUAUCAAUAAGCGGAGGA
This 337-nucleotide unclassified non-coding RNA is filed under the name soil metagenome. Its description in RNAcentral is "partial contains 5.8S ribosomal RNA, internal transcribed spacer 2, and large subunit ribosomal RNA". The stretch from base 1 to 120 matches the Rfam family "5.8S ribosomal RNA", at positions 35 to 154 of the family's 154-position model. The record is from RNAcentral.